This 282-nucleotide ribosomal RNA is filed under the name Triticum aestivum (bread wheat). RNAcentral describes it as "partial small subunit ribosomal RNA". Lineage: Eukaryota; Viridiplantae; Streptophyta; Magnoliopsida; Poales; Poaceae. The record is from RNAcentral.
AUGAGGUGGAAACUUGUCUCUUUCUCCUUGGCCGGAAGGAGAAACUUCCUACCUUCUUGAAAUAUCCCUCGGCUAGAUAGAAUGGAUAUCCAUUUGUUUUUUCUAGAAAUAACCCUCCCUCCUAGAGAUCCCCCACUAUCAAUGAUAACGUUUAGGAAACCUAACGCACAUCUGCGCCGUAAAGAACUCUUUCUUUUACGUAGUCAUAGCAUCACUGAACGAUAUCCUCCUUCACCACCUACAUGCUCCACCGGGGGUACGCCCUAACCUGCUCUCCCAUAA